GGGCCCGCACAAGCGGUGGAGCAUGUGGUUUAAUUCGAUGAUACGCGAGGAACCUUACCAGGGCUUAAAUGUAAGAUGCAUUAGUUAGAGAUAGCUAUUUCUUCGGACAGAUUACAAGGUGCUGCAUGGUUGUCGUCAGCUCGUGCCGUGAGGUGUCAGGUUAAGUCCUAUAACGAGCGCAACCCCUGUGGUUAGUUGCCAGCGAGUCAAGUCGGGAACUCUAGCCAGACUGCCGGUGCAAACCGUGAGGAAGGUGGGGAUGACGUCAAAUCAUCACGGCCCUUACGUCCUGGCCACACACGUGCUACAAUGGUAGGGACAAUGGGCAGCCACUCCGCGAGGAGGCGCAAA
Molecule: ribosomal RNA, 351 nt
Filed under: uncultured bacterium
Lineage: Bacteria
Description: bacterial SSU rRNA
Rfam family: Bacterial small subunit ribosomal RNA
Source: RNAcentral